Molecule: long non-coding RNA, 419 nt
Filed under: Zonotrichia albicollis (white-throated sparrow)
Lineage: Eukaryota; Metazoa; Chordata; Aves; Passeriformes; Passerellidae
Description: lncRNA (ENSZALG00000000809.1)
Source: RNAcentral
AUUUUAGUACUUAUGUUAGAACCGUGGGAAGGUUGCUAAGGAAGCCCAAGGCUGCAGGGUCUGCACCACACUGGGCAGUCUGCACUCAGGUAAAAUCUGGUCAAUGGAGAGUUUCUAAAGAGGUGAGAUGUAAAGGAAAAAUUGUUGCCACAAAGUCAUUUUCCAGCCUGUUCAGAAAAUAUAAAGCAAAACAUAGUGAUUCGUUGCAAGACAAGGAGAGAUGGCAUCUACCUUUCAUCAUCACCUACAGCAAAUCUAAUUCAGUCCAUGAUAUUUCAAAAGAAUUUCUCACUGAAGUAUUUGAAAUACAUUACAUAACUAGGAGUGAGGAAGGGCCAUGAGUACUAACAGUACAAUGAGGUCAACAUCUUUCACUUCCUUUUAAUAAAAUACUAUAUUUUGCUUGUUAUGUGGAGUUU